UACAUGAUCUGAGUUCAAACCGGCGUGAGCCAGGUUGGUUUCUAUCUUUAAUAAUUUUAAAAUAUUUUAGUACGAAAGGACCAAAUAUUUGUAAUAUUUAUUUUAUAUUGAAUUA
This 115-nucleotide ribosomal RNA is filed under the name Sciaphyes shestakovi. RNAcentral describes it as "partial 16S ribosomal RNA". The record is from RNAcentral. Lineage: Eukaryota; Metazoa; Arthropoda; Insecta; Coleoptera; Leiodidae.